UUAUAUUUAAUGUAAAAUGCAUAUAAAAUUUUGAAUUUUAAAGAAAUAAUUUAAUUUAUUUAUAUAAA
This 68-nucleotide transfer RNA is filed under the name Aulacus sinensis. RNAcentral describes it as "tRNA-Gln". Lineage: Eukaryota; Metazoa; Arthropoda; Insecta; Hymenoptera; Aulacidae. The record is from RNAcentral.